This 638-nucleotide ribosomal RNA is filed under the name uncultured bacterium. Its description in RNAcentral is "bacterial SSU rRNA". It matches the Rfam family "Bacterial small subunit ribosomal RNA", at positions 232 to 885 of the family's 1533-position model. The record is from RNAcentral.
CGCGGCCUAUCAGCUUGUUGGUGAGGUAACGGCUCACCAAGGCAACGACGGGUAGCUGGUCUGUGAGGACGAUCAGCCACACUGGGACUGAGACACGGCCCAGACUCCUACGGGAGGCAGCAGUAGGGAAUCUUGCGCAAUGGGCGAAAGCCUGACGCAGCAACGCCGCGUGCGGGAAGACGGCCCUCGGGUUGUAAACCGCUUUCAGCGGGGACGAAAUUGACGGUACCUGCAGAAGAAGGUCCGGCUAACUACGUGCCAGCAGCCGCGGUAAUACGUAGGGACCAAGCGUUGUCCGGAUUUAUUGGGCGUAAAGAGCUCGUAGGCGGUUUCGUGAGUCGGGUGUGAAAAAUCUGGGCUCAACCCAGUGGAGCACCCGAUACUGCGAUGACUGGAGUCCGGUAGAGGAGUGUGGAAUUUCUGGUGUAGCGGUGAAAUGCGCAGAUAUCAGAAGGAACACCGACAGCGAAGGCAGCACUCUGGGCCGGUACUGACGCUGAGGAGCGAAAGCAUGGGGAGCAAACAGGAUUAGAUACCCUGGUAGUCCAUGCCGUAAACGUUGGGCACUAGGUGUGGGAAGGAGUCGACCCUUUCCGUGCCGUAGCUGACGCAUUAAGUGCCCCGCCUGGGGAGUACGG